Heterocephalus glaber (naked mole-rat) is the source of this 1934-nucleotide long non-coding RNA. Lineage: Eukaryota; Metazoa; Chordata; Mammalia; Rodentia; Bathyergidae. The record is from Ensembl.
AGUAUUGUUGUGGAGGUUCAAGUUGUGUUUUGUUGACAUACAUGUCUUAGAAUUACCUUAAAACGAGCAUAAAAAGAUAAUGGGAGCUUCUGGUACAAUUUACUGCUUGAACAUGGCCUGAUAUCCAGUGGCCUUUUCUCUCUCUGAAACAUCUACUUUUCAUUCCUGUAAACUGAGAUGCUUGUGUUAUGUAAUUCUCCUUAUCUGCUUUUGGAGUUUUACACUGCUGUUCACAUAGUAUGAAGAUCUGUGAGCAUGCUAUGGGAAAAACCAGAUGGGGUUCAAAGUAUGUUAAUCAGAUGUGCCCCGUAGACUUCCCAAGAGUGAUGCUCUGGCAGUUUGUGACUAGUGGCUGAAUUUUGCUUUGGGUGAAAGAAGAGGAGCGGGAAGUUCUGGGAACAGGAUUGUAGAGGCCUGGCUUCAUCUGCCUGCCUAAAAGCUGCAGGCAGACCCAGUGUGAAAAGGGACAGAAGAGAACUCAUGCAGUGUACGAGCAAAUAGCCAGCGCAGUUCCCUUUCCAUGGCACAAGUGACAGAUGGGCUUUCCUUGUUUAUGCUGAUAAAGUCUGAGAUUUUUUACAUGUAAUUUUAGAUUUGAGAGUAACUUAAAUGCAUAUUUGUUGUAUAUCUAUGGCUAUAAUGGAAAUAAAAACUACUUUAUGUAUUGUUUAUGCAUAUUGUCUAAUAGAGAUGAUUUUGUAAUUCAUUAUAAUCUUGAUUUUAAGAAAUCAGUAAAAUGGCUACUAUUGCUAUUUUGGGGGUCUUUAAUUUUAUUUUUGGGGGGGGUCUUUAAUUUUAGAUGUAUGUUGUGUUUAACUUUUUCCCUGUCUUUUUAUCUUUACUUUUUUGUCCUCCACAUGCUGUGGUUAAACCCUUGCACUUUCUUCACCAAAACACGGCGUGUUUGACCUCAUCUUUGUAUUGAUGUUUAUUACACAGCACUACAAAACCUGCUCCACACCUGGAUGGGGUACAUGUUGUCUUUGGACUGGUUAUCUCUGGUUUUGAAGUAAUCGAGCAGAUAGAAAAUCUGAAAACUGAUGCCGCAAGCAGACCUUAUGCAGAUGUGCGAGUUAUUGACUGCGGGGUGCUUGCCACAAAAUCAACAAAAGAUGGUAAGACCUUGUUGAGGGUGGAGGAAACUAGGGUUGAGGUAAAGCCUUGUUGGAGACUGUAAAAAUACCUCCUCAGUUGCAGUGGUGGAAGAAAGGCCAUGGGUGGUGUAAAGAUAGCUCUUCAUGUCCCUGCUUCACAGCCCACCUCCAGUCAGUCGGCAGAUCUUGUACCGUCCCUCCUCCCACUGCUUCCCCUUGCUGCCAGCCUAAGCUCUGCCACCAGGGUCUCAGGCCUUGAUUAUGCAGUGGCCUCGUGACUGUUCACCUUGCCUCCAUCUCCUUGCUCUUCUCUGCUCUUUUCUCGGGCCAGUAUCUCACCUGGUCCCUUGCUUAUGUCUGGGGUUUGCACUUAGCAGUAACCAGCUGGUCCCUGGUCUUUUCAUCUUGCGUACAAGGAAGCUCCCUUCUUAGCCAGAGCUGCGGUCUUUAUGGGGCCUAGCAGGCCCUGGGUGAUCGAGCUCCCAACCCUUUCCCCUCCAGUGCCUCCCAGCAUGGCGACCUUGUAGCACUCUUCUCUCCCUCUAGAACUCUUAUCUCUAAGCAUCGGCACUACUCCUCCUCCUCCAGGGAUGUGGCAGAUACUGCCUUAAACUACUCUACUCCCCUGCUCCCUCUGCAUUGGUCUUACUGAUUUACUUUUCUGUGGUAGCAUUUAUCAUUUGUCAUCUCACAUAGUUAUUUAUUUUCCUAUUAUCUGACCCGUUUAGAAUACAGGCUUUCUGCAGUUUUGCAAACAGUAGUUUUCUCAACUUGCAAAGUUUAUUUAAAUUUCAUCUUUAGUUUGCUGUACAUCAAGCCAUAAAGUUUAGUCUGAAAUGC